AGGCUGUCAAUGGGGCAUGUUGGUUGUGCUGGUGGUGGAUAUGGCACCACUGGUGGUGGUGGUGGUGGUGGACAUGGUGUUUCACUUGGAGGGUUUGGUGGAGUCACAAUGGGUGGUAAUGGUGGCACAGGGACUACAGGUGGAUACACAAUAGGUGGUGUCACAAUUGGUGGUGUUGGUACUACAGGUGGAUAAACAAUGGGUGGUUUUGGCACAUAAGGUGGUGUAACUGGCACAACUGGUGGUUUUGGGAUAUAUGGUGGUCUAACUGGGACAACAGGUGGUUUUGGGACAUAAGGAGGGUUCACAAUUGGUGGUUUUGGAACAUAUGGUGGUGUAACUGGCACAACUGGUGGUUUUGGGACAUAGGGAGGGUUCACAACUGGUGGCUUCGGGACAUAGGGUGGUUUAACAACUGGUGGUUUUGGGACAUAAGGUGGAUGUGGAUGCAGUGGAGGCUUAGGGUGAGGUUUUGGGACAUGGGGUGGAUGUGGAUGAACUGGUGGUUUAGGGUAGUGAGGAGGUUUUGGGACAUAGGGUGGGUGUACAUGGGGUGGUUUUGGAGAUGACUUGGGUG
RNAcentral lists this long non-coding RNA (577 nucleotides) under Glycine max (soybean). RNAcentral's name for it is "long non-coding RNA (GMAX_LNC004552)". The record is from RNAcentral. Lineage: Eukaryota; Viridiplantae; Streptophyta; Magnoliopsida; Fabales; Fabaceae.